GGGAGCUCUCCCAUAUGGUCGACCUGCAGGCGGCCGCGAAUUCACUAGUGAUUCGUUUACCGCGGCUGCUGGCACAGAGUUAGCCGGUGCUUAUUCUGCGAGUAACGUCCACUAUCCAAGAGUAUUAAUCUCGGUAGCCUCCUCCUCGCUUAAAGUGCUUUACAACCAAAAGGCCUUCUUCACACACGCGGCAUGGCUGGAUCAGGGUUCCCCCCAUUGUCCAAUAUUCCCCACUGCUGCCUCCCGUAGGAGUCUGGGCCGUGUCUCAGUCCCAGUGUGGCGGAUCAUCCUCUCAGACCCGCUACAGAUCGUCGCCUUGGUAGGCCUUUACCCCACCAACUAGCUAAUCCGACUUAGGCUCAUCUAUUAGCGCAAGGCCCGAAGGUCCCCUGCUUUCUCCCGUAGGACGUAUGCGGUAUUAGCAUCCCUUUCGAGAUGUUGUCCCCCACUAAUAGGCAGAUUCCUAAGCAUUACUCACCCGUCCGCCGCUAGGUAAAGUAGCAAGCUACUCUUCCCCGCUCGACUUGCAUGUGUUAAGCCUGCCGCCAGCGUUCAAUCUGAGCCAUGAUCAAACUCUAAUCGAAUUCCCG
RNAcentral lists this ribosomal RNA (590 nucleotides) under uncultured Gammaproteobacteria bacterium. RNAcentral's name for it is "partial 16S ribosomal RNA". Lineage: Bacteria; Pseudomonadati; Pseudomonadota; Gammaproteobacteria. The record is from RNAcentral.